Long non-coding RNA from Gallus gallus (chicken), 8961 nucleotides. RefSeq lists it as uncharacterized. The record is from RefSeq and is a predicted model, not a curated record. Lineage: Eukaryota; Metazoa; Chordata; Aves; Galliformes; Phasianidae. The transcript is spliced from 2 exons.
GGCUGUGCCGCAGGCUCGGCGGCGGCGGGCAGCGGCGCUGCGGCAGGGUCCCGGCGGCCGUGCCCUACGAAGGGCCUGGGCCGGGCGCGCUGGGAAGCGGCGGGGCUGGAGCAGGCGGAGGGUGAGUGACGGCGGGGCGACGCUCAGCGCCGUCUUCAGUGGGAAGCGAAUCAGCCGUAGGUGGGAAAUUAGGGUCACAUCUCCGAUCUCCCGAGGCAGUAAAUCUGUGAGCAACUUUUUGAAGCCUGGACGGAACUGAAUCAUGUGAAAAUCAGGUACUUUUCUAUUAAAGUAGCCAGCAAUGUAAGUAUGCCAUAUACCCCCACAUUUCUUGCAAGUGCUUUCCCUAGGGACACUAUUUGACAUUUUUUUGUAUAUAUUUCACUGAUAUAUGCAAUGAAGAGCUGGACCACUUCAGUUUUCUUAAUCAAGCAAUCAAGCUGUGGUCAAUAAAAUACAUUCCUGAAGAGCAACAAUUAGCACAUAGUUUAAGAAGGCUAAUGGGGACCCAUCCCUAGCAGCCAGGGACUAGCAACCUAGUCAGCAACUGAAGAAUGCCCACUGGGAGGCCAGCAGUGACAGCAGCCAGGUGAGCCUAAGGAGCAGAUGGAAUCAGCACAAUUAGUCUUCCUGAAAUGCUAGUUUUAGCGUUUGUGAAUGAAACUUACCAGAUCUCCUAGUACAAAGUAGUGCUCGUGUAAAGCCUAUCUUUUUACGCUGUUUCCAGCAGAGAGCUGUGAGUAUUGAACUAGCCAUUCAUACAUCUUAGUGCAGUCUCAACUUCUGUGGAGUCAUUUUUGCUCUCCCGGAUGAGGAUUGGCCUUCUGCACAUCAGCCUGGAAGUACUCUCUCAUUUCAAGGGCUGCUGCCUCUGACAGCCCCGUCUGGCCUAGGACCGCGCUCCAAAAUAAUGAUGCUGUACUAACAGACAGGUUUCUCUGCUUUGCCUUAAACUGCUGACCCAUUCCCACCGUGCCCACUAAGCCAUAUCCGUUAGUACCACAUCUAAAUGUUUCUUGAACACCUCCAGGGACACUACCACUUCCCUGGGCAGCCCAUGCCAAUGCCUCACCACUCUUUCUGAGAAGAAAUGUUUCCUAAUAUCCAACCUGAACCUCCCGUUACAGUUUCAUCUGAGGAAGCUCUCUGGUAUCCCAGAUAUCUAUACAGACACUGUGCUUAGCCACCUGAUCCACAAAACUGAGGACUGCUUAACACCUGUGAAAUUUCACAGCAUGACAGCAGAGCUGAGGCUGGAAGGCACAUCUGGAGCUCCACUGGUCCAGCCCCCUGUUCAGAGCAUGGGCAGUGAGAGCACAUUGCCCAGGGCUGUGUCCACAUGGGCUUGGGGUUUCAUCAAGGUUGGAGACUCCACAGCCUUACGGGGCAACCUGUUCCAAUGUUCAGCCACCCGCAUGGGGAAAAAUGCUUUUCGUAUGUUGAAUGAAAUGUUCUGUGUUUCUGUUUGUGCCUAUUGAAUAGCACCGAGAAAAGUCCAGCUUCAUCUUCUUUACCCCUCCUAUCAGACUUUCAUACACUUCAGUAAAGCGUCCUGUGCCCUCCUCAAGCCUCCCCUUCUCAAGGUUAAGCAGCCCUAGCUCAGUCUUCCCACUCCUUACCUCCGUGGCUGAACACAUGCCUCCUCCCUGGCUUGCUGCUUGGAAAAAACACUUCAUAUACAUACAGAUAAUAGGAAGAGCAAAGCCAAGAAAACUCAUGGGUAAAGACAAAGGCAGUUUAGUAAGUGAAGGAAAAAAAAAAAACGAUGGAAGGCAAUCACUCACCACGUCCCAAGUCCCACUGACAGCCUGAUGCCCAGGCAGCCUCUCAGUGACAGCAAGCUCAGAAGCCAGCCCCUGUCCUCACGCCCCAGGCUUUAUUGCUGAGCAUGACGUUAGAAGGUAUGGGACAUACCUUUGGUCUGUCUGGGUCAGCUGUCCUGGCUGCAUCCCCUCCCAGCUCCUUGCCUACUCAGCCUGCUUGCUGAGGUAGGAGUGGGGCAGAGAGCACUGCUGAGCUGCAGCCAAAACAGUGGUGUGUUAUCAGCACUGCCCUAUCCAUAGCCCCACAGAGGCUGCUAUGAAGGACAUUAACUCCAUCCCAGCCAGCCUCAGUGCACCUGCAGGAUAACAUCCUUGGAGUAAGAGAUUUCCCCCUUUGAAGUUCCCCUGCUAUGGUUAUGGCAACCAGUCUCAGCAGUGCUACUGUGUGCUAUCUGCUUCCCUAGCACCUUCUUAGUGUCUAAAAGAAGAGAAAGUAGCACAUUAAACCAUGAAAAAGAAAAUGGAGGAAAAAAACCAGAAGCUGACAAAAGUUGGUAUAUAACUAAAGAGUUAAAUGUAAGAACCUAGACAAAAAGACAAAAAUAUGUACUUCACUGAAAGUAAGAAUGUUAACUUAGAGACAAUGACAUUGCAAAUACUAUUAGUAUGUUGCUACUGGAUGUAAAAAAAUAGAAUUGCCUAAAAGAAUGUACGGAAGCAGAAUUAUUCAAUCAAUAUUUCUAUUGUAUAUUUAGUAAACAGAAGCUGUGCUUUCAUAUUAUAUUACAUUGAAAUACUUUCCUUUCAAUCAAUAAUGUAAAAGGACAAUAAAGAUCAGCAGAAUAUACUAAACAGUUAUUUUUUAAACGGAAGGUCAAGGAGUUUUUAGAAAAAUAAAUGAAAGUGGAGUUAGGCAGCAAUGUUAAUAAUUCAAAUCAGUUCCUAACAAUUUCUGAAACGCUAAGGAAAUUUCAGAGAAAUAGAAGAAAGUUAAUACUGUAACAAUAUUUGAAGGGUAAAUAGGAUGACCUACUUAAUUACAGGCUCAUCGAGCUGACAGCAAGCAUGGGCAAAAUUGUGGGAAAGGCAGGUUCAGGACUCAAUUACAGUAAGGAAUGACAGGGAGAAGAACCGGAAUUGCCAAAUACCAGGCAGUGGGGCAGGCUGUGCAGCCGUGCAGUCCCUGCCUGCACCGCGUGAGUCAGAAUACUUCCCAGAUUUUGGCCUAACCAGUGCCUCUAUUUUUGCACUAACAGCCGCCAAUAAAAUGAGCUGGCAGAAAAUACACUUUGAAAAACUGUUCUGAUGUCACUUCAGAGAUGCCACAUUUUAUUUUAAGUACCUAUGUAGAAAUACACUUGAAAUCUUAUGCUAUCGGAUCCCCAUUGACAUUCCAAUGAAAGAGCUAGAUUGACACAAAAUCAACACUAUACGCAAUGCACAGGUGUACCAAUAGGCUUUCAUUCAUGCUACAUAUUUAUGAGUCUAUUCAAUCUUUUAAUCAGUGAAACAAGAGAGAGAUUACAAAACACCAAAGAUGAGGGAAACUAAAACUAAUGGCAGAGAGACACCUUUUGAUGGUAAAACUCUCGGCUCUUCCAUUUGUUGGGUACCAUCUAAAAUAUUUCAAAACAAAUGUAACUGAGAAUAGGAACAAAUUAUACAUGCUGUUUUUAUGAGACAAGAAAAGGGGAAAAAAAUAGAUAUGGAUUUUAACAAAUAUAAAUGAUGCUCUGGCUAAAAAAGGUAGGGCACUUUUGGAAUGUGAGACACUAAUAUGUAGUUUUUGAUCCUUGCCAAGACCCUUUUACUUUACAAAGAUGAAGUUAAGGAAUGAUUUCAUCAUUGUUGAUAGAUUAAGUCAUAAAAACAAAAUGUGAGUAGUAUGUGAUACAUAGAUAUAAUUUUGCAAUACUGAUGGAACUUGGACAACAAGAUGUAGAAGUGUGUGACCUUUUACAUGUGGUGAAGCAGAACUCCAGUCCUGCCGUCACGUGAUAGAAGACUUAACAAGGGUAAAGCAGAAGCUGUACUGGAAGUUUUGAAGGUGAUAGUCAGAUAACGAACAAAACUUACCAUUAGCUAAAGUACUUCUGUUCAUCCAGACCAAAUUUACUCUUAGUAAGCAGAAUUCUACUUUAAAUAAUCAUACUGAUUUAAAAUAGAUAAGCAACACAUACCUAGCCUAGAUAAAAUCACUGAAGAAGUAGCUAGUGAGGUGAACUUACAUCACUAAUUAAAUACCGUUUGCAUCCACUGGCCAUACAGAUACUUUCAGCAAGGUGUGACUUCUGUAUUAAGCAAAGAAAAUAAUCAUCAGUGUUCAGCUAUGUUAAUAGUUACAUAUACAGAGUUAGAGAAAACCAAAAUAAGGAAAAAGCUCAAUCUGAGUUCAGACUUCCAUGAAUACUGCUUAACCACAAUGUACAAGCCUAUUGUAAUGGUAGAAGAAGGUGUCAGAAAGGUAGGAUUCAAGGAGGAAAAGCUCAGAAAAACAGGAACUUGUAACAGAGAGGAAGUUAUCUAAUACAAUACAAGAAGCCUCAGCACUGAUCUGAGGUGAGGGAACAAAAACACAGCUGGAGCAGAGAACACCAAUGAAGCACUGGCUAUUGUGGCUGGGAGUUCUGACAGAGCUUCUAGCAAACCUGACACUGCAGCAAUAUGACACAGAGGCAGCUAUAUCCCAACCAAGCAGAUAGAUACAGGUGUUUCAGGACCAUAGGAUCAUAGAGUAUCGUGAGUUGGAAGGAACUCUACAAGGAUCAUUGAAUCCAACACCCAGCUCCACACAGAAACACCCAAAAUUCAAACCUUAUGCAUGAGGCCACUGUCCAAAAACUUCUUGACUUCUGGCAGCUUGAGGCCACGACCACUGACCUGGGAGCCUGUUCCAGGGCCCAACUACCCCCUCAGCAAAUAAUCUUUUCCUAAUUCCCACCCUGCCCCUCCCCUGACACAGCUCCAUGCCGUUCCCUCGGGCCCUGUCGCUGUCACGCAGAGCAGAGCACAGCACUGCCCCUCCACACCCUGUGAGGAGCUGCAGCCGCCAUGAGGGCUCCCCUCAGCUCCUCUGCUCUGGGCUUAGCAAACCCAGGGACCUCAGCACUCCUCGUAUGCCUUGCCCUCUAAACCCUUCACCAUCUUUGUAGCCCUCCUUUUGACUUCUCCAGGCAGUGAAUCAAACCCUAGGAAUACUGAGUUCUGUUUGCUAAUGACUUCUGUGAUUGUCGAAAUGGCAUCACUUAGUGAGUCAUAAUAAUUUCACAGAAAAUAAUCAAAUACACCAACAUUAAACAUGAGAUAGCUAAUCAUAGUCUGAAGAUAGUUAAUAAGUGAAUCACAUAUACCCUGCUAUGCCUAGAGAGGGGUUUCUUUGGUGACAGAUCUUCAGCUCUGAAUAAGCAAUGAGAAGGCCAAGCUUUGUGACCCUUCUUUAAAAGUUAUUCUCAUCGUAUAUAGGGAUAUGCCGUAUCUCUUAUGCAAAUAGAUUCUUUUUCAAUAGCCAAAGAGUAUCCUGUGACAAAUGGUUGCUAUUUUGAGCUCACACUAAUGCACUGUGAAAAAAACAUAGUUAUGCCAAAAAAAAAAAAAAACUUACAAUGAGAAAUGUAAUAAUUUAUUUAACAGUUGGAAACCCAUUGAAAAUGAACAGACACUUGAGUGAGUGCCCAAGAGAACAAGAAAGAAUGGACAGCACAGUCAAAAUGUCUUUUGUUUGUUUAGUGAAUAUCCUUUCAUCUAUAAGACCAGCAAUGAGUGCACUCUAGAAUCCUUUGGAGCUAAAGUGAACUACUGGAGACCUUCCAUUUAUGCUGCAACGCAGCCUACACCUGGUUUGAAUGUCUACAGAAGGGUUUUUUCUGCUUCAGUACUAACAGAGCAGGUUUCAGUGCUAGAAGUGAACUAUGCUACUCUCCAGGUUUCAUUGCAGGUCUUUCUCCUGUCCUUCCUCUGCAUUUCUAUCUACUUAGCACAGAAUAAGGAUCUAUGGUGCAAAUUUUUUCUCACAUUUCUCAGAAUGCUUUCUACAAACAAGUGGCAAUAAGAUCCCUAAUUGGCUUCAUGGAGUCCUUUUGGGAUAAAACCUCCUCUUAAUGGACAUUUUCACACUAAUUUUUUUCAUAAUAAUUUAGAGAUAGAAACAGGGUGUCACUUGUGAGUGAGCUGGGAGAAAGACCUGUCUGAAUGAGUUCCUCUCCCACAGUGGGGCCCCAUGGGUUGGAAGCAUCUUUUGUCCCAGGUCCUCCUGUUCUUUCACCUCAGUUUUGAAAUACCUCAGAGUCAUAGCUGUUAUCACGAUGCCAACAUCAAAAAGUAGAUUUAUCUAACAGCUAUUUGAACCUUUUUUUAAUUCCUAAAGAAAACUGCAUAAACUAUAAAACAGCAAAGAGAAGCAUACUAAGAGCUAGCAAAAGGCAAUGUGAGAUUAGAUCUUAUAUGUCCACAGCUAUAUAAGCCGUGAAGAAUCAGGCAGAAACAUGACACGUCAGGAACAAUAGAUAAAGUGGCAGAGAAAAUAUACAGCAAAAGACUGAAAUUUUCAAAUAUUUAUACCCCCCAGCUACAAGGUGAACAGGCUAAGCAGGGUACAGAUACUGCUGGACUCUCUUAAGAGAGGAAGUGACUUAAGAACAUUGUGUCUUCAACACAGAGUGCAAACAAUGCCUUGGCCAGAGUUGUUUUUGCUUCAUUUGAUAUCAGUCUGUACUAACUGUACCUCAUCAUGAGAGGAAACAGCAUCUCUAUAGCAAUGGAAAACAAGAUAAGUACUUGCACAUAAUCAGCAUAGUGCUGGUGUGUCAGUAUUUCAGUGUCUCAGUGCACUCAUCUCACACAAGUAGUAGAAGGAAACAGAAAUAAAUACAGACAGAAUGAUGCCCAGUAUCUCUCUUUUGAGUUCACUGGGAAAAUGAUGGGAUCCACACUACCACUGCACCAGGGUAUCGUCAUAGAUCAUAUGCUACAAAGAGAUCUCUACUAUUUCUCUACUAGUAAAGUCUUGUCUGUACUGAAUUCGUUGAUAGGUUUCUUAUUGAUUUCAGUAGAAUCAUGAUGUCCUCCACAUAACAGUUGAAAAAAUAAAAGUAUUUUCUCAUUUUUGCGCCAUGCUUUUUUACCUAAUCACAGUUACCAUUUUUGAAUGUUCCUAAAGGCAGGAAUAUUUGAGUGAGAAAAUCUCACAGACAAUACCUACUUUCCAGAUUACUCCAAACUACAUAGCUGCUCAUCAGUUCAUGCAAAUUUUGAAUACUGCUCUAUGCUGAGAAAUGACUACUGACCAGACAAGCCACCCCCUUGCAGGAGGUAAUUACCAGUCUUGGCAGAUAAAGCCUAUUCUAAAUCUAGACACCAUUGUGUUGAGUGGCUCUCUGCCAGCACUCACUCGCUUUCCAAAGGGGGUCCUUCUACAGGCACCAGGUAGUGGGCUGUCAGGAUGAGCAUCCAAAAGGGACUGAAACAGUUCCAGGUACAUUUUCUUUCUCAUCAAGAAAUAGUUACCAGAUACAGUGGGGUGGAAGUUAGAGUAGACCUAUGAAAACAUGAAAGGAGAGGCUGCUGAAAGACAUCAAAUGUACCCAGCCUAUUCAGUAAUAAAUGGAUAUUGGAAUAAUUUUUCUGGUUUGAGACACAGAGGAAGGUUUUACAUGAACAUAGACUGAUGUUUGCCUUGUAGUUAUGGGUGAUUUUUUGUUGUUGUUGUUGUUUUGGUUUAUUUUGCUCUUUUCCAUUAAAAAAAAAAAAGGAUGUUUAUUUCCAUAAAAGAUGUUAUGUAUCUACAUUACUUAAGUGAGAAGUAGAGCUUCUUUCUUGUGUCAAGAAGACUUCUCUCCUGUAAAACAAAGACAAAGAUGCUUCACUUAUUGCUUUACUAUCAUCAUAUCUUGGUACAGAAAAUUAGUAUGACUCCAGCCAUUCACUCUCCUGGAGCAGAUCACGCUCUGCCUGUUUUCUGCACAGUUUCCCCCCAGAAUCCAGUCUGAUUUAAGACCUUAUAAUGGUAUGGGAAGAAAGCACCCAAGCACGAACCAUUCCCUGAUAGAUUAAGAUGGAGACUGUGAUUUAUAAAACUGUUCCUAAGGCCUGAUGGAGCUGUCCAGGCCUUUGAAGCUUUUCUUGUUUUGUUUGACCUACAAACCACUUCGAGCAUCAUCUAAUUGUUAAAAAUCUCUUGUGCACUCUAUGCACAAGACAAAUUUCUUUUACCUUGUCAUCAGUAAUCGAUAAAGCAAACAUAGGUUUUAAAUAAUUAAAAUAUUUCUUUCCUAUUGUACAGGGAAGGAAAAAAACAAGAACCAUCAAGAUCAUCAGUGAUACCAUUUAAUGCACUUCUGGAAUGCGUUCAGAUAACACACCACGAAGGCAGAACACAGUGUGGCCAGGAGCGUGACUGGGCCACAAAUAAUUCUGUACAAUGAUCUUGCAGUGAUAUUAACAUUCUAGUUAGUCACUGCUAUUAGGGUAAACAUACUAAAAAAUGAACCACAUGAAGAAUUUCAUAACCUCAAAAUUCCAGAGACCAUGAGACACUUCGGUGUUCAUACUGCCCAUUAUGCUCUGAAUGUACAGAGAGUGUAGAAUAUGGGCUAGAUAGAAAAGGACAAAGAUACCAGCAAACAAUAUUCAGAAUCAACUCUUUAAUAAUUUAACUGUAUACUUCAGAGAGCAAAACGAUGUAAGCAACAUGGGAAUUCCCACCAACUGUGCUUUGUUUAGUUUAUUUCACUAAGCAUUUGUUUUUUUUUGGUGUCAAAGCAUAUAAAAACAUUAAAAGAAUCAGUUGCCUACAACUUUUAGGAUAGCAUCCAUGACAGUGGGCAGGAACCUCCCAGUACCUCAUCUUUCUUAUCGACUAUAUUGUAAUUCGGCUGAAGCAGUUGUGUAUCUGCCACAUUCCAGGUCACCUAUAGACAAGACCUACUGCGUCAACUGAUUGAGCAGCCAGGAAGAAAAGCCCUUUCCAUUAUGAAUGUUAUGACACAAGAGUUAGAUGGUUUAUUUCCUCAUUUAUCAGAAAUAGAAUCAAAUAUAAGAGCAUAAAGAAAUGAAGAGAUGCAUUCACAGUGCUAUAAAAACUUACUGAAAUACAUAAAUCUGGCUGUAGAAGGGGCAUUAUUUCUCUGUUAGCUACCCAUGUGUAUAUGGGAAUGGAGACUACUGGAAACAAGCAGAGUUGAAUAAAUGAUUUUUUCACAUA